This 1500-nucleotide ribosomal RNA is filed under the name metagenome. RNAcentral's name for it is "bacterial SSU rRNA". It matches the Rfam family "Bacterial small subunit ribosomal RNA". The record is from RNAcentral.
AGAGUUUGAUCCUGGCUCAGAUUGAACGCUGGCGGCAUGCCUAACACAUGCAAGUCGAACGGAAACGAUGGGAGCUUGCUCCCAGGCGUCGAGUGGCGGACGGGUGAGUAACACAUAGGAAUCUGCCCAGUAGCGGGGGACAACUUGGGGAAACUCAAGCUAAUACCGCAUACGCCCUACGGGGGAAAGCAGGGGAUCUUCGGACCUUGCACUAUUGGAUGAGCCUAUGUCAGAUUAGCUUGUUGUUGGGGUAAAGGCCUACCAAGGCGACGAUGAGUAGCCGGCCUGAGAGGGCGAACGGCCACACUGGGACUGAGACACGGCCCAGACUCCUACGGGAGGCAGCAGCUAAGAAUCUUCCGCAAUGGACGCAAGUCUGACGGAGCGACGCCGCGUGAACGAUGAAGGCGGAAACGUUGUAAAGUUCUUUUCCUGAGGAAGAAUAAUGAGAGGAGUAGAAAGCCUUUCAGAUGACAUUAAUCAGGGAAUAAGCCCCGGCUAAUUACGUGCCAGCAGCCGCGGUAAUACGUAUGGGGCAAGCGUUGUUCGGAUUUAUUGGGCGUAAAGGGCGCGCAGGCGGUUUAACAAGCUUGAUGUGAAAUAUCCCGGCUUAACUGGGAAGACGCGUUGGGAACUGUUAGACUAGAAUUUAGGAGGGGAAACUGGAAUUCCUAGUGUAGGGGUGAAAUCUGUAGAGAUUAGGAAGAACACCAAUGGCGAAGGCAAGUUUCUGGCCAUAGAUUGACGCUGAGGCGCGAAAGCGUGGGGAGCGAACAGGAUUAGAUACCCUGGUAGUCCACGCUGUAAACGAUGUGCACUAGGUGUAGGAUAUUGAAUAUAUUCUGUGCCGUAGCUAACGCGUUAAGUGCACCGCCUGGGGAGUAUGCUCGCAAGGGUGAAACUCAAAGGAAUUGACGGGGGCCCGCACAAGCGGUGGAGCAUGUGGUUUAAUUCGACGAUACGCGAGAAACCUUACCAGGGCUUGACAUUUACAUGCCGAUCUAAGAGAUUAGAUUUCUACUUCGGUAGCGUGUAAACAGGUGCUGCAUGGUUGUCGUCAGCUCGUGUCGUGAGAUGUUGGGUUAAGUCCCGCAACGAGCGCAACCCUUAUUGUCUGUUGCCAGCAUUUCGGAUGGGGACUCAGACAAAACUGCCGGUGACAAACCGGAGGAAGGUGGGGAUGACGUCAAAUCAUCAUGGCCCUUAUGUCCUGGGCUACACACGUGCUACAAUGGCAAGUACAAAGCGUUGCGAGAAGGUGACUUUAAGCUAAUCGCAAAAAGCUUGCCUCAGUUCGGAUUGGAGUCUGAAACUCGACUCCAUGAAGUUGGAAUCGCUAGUAAUCGCGCAUCAGCAUGGCGCGGUGAAUAUGUUCCCGGGCCUUGUACACACCGCCCGUCACACCACCCGAGUUGGGGGUACCCGAAGUCGCUAGUCUAACCGUAAGGAAGACAGUGCCGAAGGUAUGCCUGGUAAGGGGGGUGAAGUCGAAACAAGGUA